RNAcentral lists this long non-coding RNA (354 nucleotides) under Chinchilla lanigera (long-tailed chinchilla). RNAcentral describes it as "lncRNA (ENSCLAG00000023320.1)". The record is from RNAcentral. Lineage: Eukaryota; Metazoa; Chordata; Mammalia; Rodentia; Chinchillidae.
GAAGUGGCUAAAGUGGGAAGAUGCCACAACUGAAAGUCUGUGGAUCUAAAAUGUGUCUAUGGCCAUGCCACCCUGAACCCUGAAUCCGACUCGAUUUUGUCGGAUCUAAAAUGUUCCCCAGAAGUCUCAUGUGUUAGAAGGUGGGGCCUGGUCAAAAGAGGUGGGUCACUGUGUGUGUAUGUCACUUGGAAGGGUGUAUUUUUGUCCCCCCCAUCUCCAUUCUCUCUCUCUGCUUCCUGGCUGGCACGGGUUGAGCAGCUUCCCUCCACCAUGCCUUCUACCAUGCUACUUCUGCCUUGCAGCAGGCCAACCAUAGACUGAACCCACUGAAACGAUGAGCCCAAUGAAUCUCUC